This 318-nucleotide long non-coding RNA is filed under the name Gopherus agassizii (Agassiz's desert tortoise). RNAcentral describes it as "lncRNA (ENSGAGG00000000141.1)". Lineage: Eukaryota; Metazoa; Chordata; Testudines; Testudinidae. The record is from RNAcentral.
UGAAUUAACCUCUUGUCUUUUUCAAUGUUUUAUUUCCUUCCCAGGGAUCUGACGGCCAGCCAGGUCCACCAGGAAUUAAAGGCUAUGUCGGAGCACCCGGUCUGCAGGGAGAAAGAGGAGAAAAGGGAACUCGAGGAGACAAGGGAGAACGAGGUCUUGAUGGUCUCCCUGGGAAGCCAGGUGCAGAGGGGAAACAGGGCAUUAAGGGCAGCACAGGCCCACCAGGUGCCAGUGGACCCAGAGGAGAAAAGGUGAGCUGGGCAAGUGCCCAAGGAGCACUUUGAAAGGCAAACUCAUUUCAUUUUGAUUAAACUCUCC